GCCCCCACCAUGCCAGAGCAUCCUAGCCAGGCCCUGCGUGUGAACGGCGAGGGGCCAGCUGCCCCUGCUCCUGGUGUGUGGGGCCUCCCUCUCCUGCUGCUGAGGGAGCCCGCUGGAAUCUCGGCUCUGCCCCAGGCGCCAGCAGCUCCUUGGUCGAUGCGCUCAUUCACACACAGAAGUACCAGCAAGCGUGCUCAUUGUUUGAAGAUCCUGCACUUGGGAAACAAAUCCAGAAAAAGAAAAAGAGCCUGUGGCAGAAAUCGCAUGAACAGACUGAUCUUGCAGACAGACACAGAGACAGCUUCCUCAAACCUAUGUCCUCAAGCAGAACGUCUGGAAGGAUUGUAGCCUUGAGCCAGAGGAGACAAGCUAAAAACCUCCUGAAAGACUCCAGGGCUAGCAAAACUGUGUACAUGAGUACCUGUGAGUGUGUAUGGUUCUGUGUCUGUUUGUGUCUGGCAUCUGUAUGUUUCUGGGUACAUGUGUAUGUGUGUCCACAUGUGUGGGUGUCUGGGUGUGUAUAUGCAUAUGUAUGUGAGCUUGCAAGGGGAAGUGUAAGAAAGAAGGAAUGAGUGUUUACUGAGAGCCUACCUUGUCCCAAGUGCUUGGGGCAUUAUCUUAUUUAAUCCUCAGGUUUUCUUGUCUCCAUUUUACAGCUGAGGAAACUGAAAUUCAGGAAAGUAAAGAAACUCACUCAAAUAUUUUCUGCCUAUAAGUGUCAGACCUCGGGUGCCACAGUUCUUGUAGCCUUCCCAGUCUGUAAUAAAAGAACUGAAGAAAUAGAAAUAUCAUGUGUGUGUGUUUGUGUCUGUGUUUUUUCCCAUCCAAUAGCAUGUUGUUGGGAAUUGAAUCAUGCCCCUCACAAAAGGCAUGUUCACAGGCCUAGAGCUGCAGUGUGCCUAAGAGUUACCUCCUGAGAGCCUCCACGUUGCUCAAAUGUGGCCACUCUCUAAGCCAAACUCAGCGUGUAAACCCAUUACCUUCCCCCCACCAUGGGACAUGACACCCAGGGAUGAGCCUCCAUGGCACCAAGAGAUUGCUACCAAUCACUAAAUGGUGAUGCAACUAGAAAAAGACCUUGAAUGAAAGGGGGAG
RNAcentral lists this long non-coding RNA (1095 nucleotides) under Dasypus novemcinctus (nine-banded armadillo). RNAcentral's name for it is "lncRNA (ENSDNOG00000050087.1)". The record is from RNAcentral. Lineage: Eukaryota; Metazoa; Chordata; Mammalia; Cingulata; Dasypodidae.